UUGAUAGGCAGGGUGUGUAAGCGUUGUGAGGCGUUGAGCUAACCUGUACUAAUUGCCCGUGAGGCUUAACCAUACAACACCCAAGGGGUUU
RNAcentral lists this ribosomal RNA (91 nucleotides) under Vibrio sp. V36_P2S2PM302. RNAcentral's name for it is "partial 23S ribosomal RNA". The record is from RNAcentral. Lineage: Bacteria; Pseudomonadati; Pseudomonadota; Gammaproteobacteria; Vibrionales; Vibrionaceae.